RNAcentral lists this ribosomal RNA (367 nucleotides) under uncultured bacterium. Its description in RNAcentral is "partial 16S ribosomal RNA". It matches the Rfam family "Bacterial small subunit ribosomal RNA", at positions 338 to 702 of the family's 1533-position model. The record is from RNAcentral.
CCUACGGGAGGCUGCAGUGAGGAAUAUUGGUCAAUGGACGAGAGUCUGAACCAGCCAAGUAGCGUGAAGGAUGACUGCCCUAUGGGUUGUAAACUUCUUUUAUAAAGGAAUAAAACGAGGCACGUGUGCCGUUUUGCAUGUACUUUAUGAAUAAGGAUAGGCUAACUCCGUGCCAGCAGCCGCGGUAAGACGGAGGAUCCGAGCGUUAUCCGGAUUUAUUGGGUUGACAGGGAGCGUAGGUGGGUUGUUAAGGCAGUUGUGAAAGUUUGCGGCUCAACCGUAAAAUUGCAUUGGAUACUGGCAGUCUUGAUUGCAGUUGAGGUCGGCGGAAUUCGUGGUGUAGCGGUGAACUGCUUAGAUCUCUCGA